Molecule: RNA transcript, 4343 nt
Organism: Poeciliopsis prolifica (blackstripe livebearer)
Lineage: Eukaryota; Metazoa; Chordata; Actinopteri; Cyprinodontiformes; Poeciliidae
Gene: esrp2
Gene name: epithelial splicing regulatory protein 2
Exons: 16
Source: RefSeq, a predicted model, not a curated record
UCUCUGACCGCAAACUCUUCCGUGGCUCCUCUGAAAGUUAUCUCCCCACUCUUCUUUCUUUCUGCGUUUAUCUCAAUUGACUUUCCAGCCCUUUUGUUCGCUCUCCUUAUCACUUGGAAAAGGUGAACCCUCGUGUUAUUUUUUUUUAUUUUAAUCUUUGCUCUAAUUGUAGUUUUUACCCUUGUGGUCCCUGAUGGCUUCGCACAGUGAUACUCUGGUGGUGUUCUUUGGGGCAACAGCUGGUGCAAAUGGGGGUAAACUGGGUUCGGAUGAGAGGGAAAUAAUUCUCUUGGUGUGGCAAAUUGUGGAUCUACAUGAGAAAAAGGUUGGGAAGCUUCAUAAAUGUUUUGUCAAGCCAGACACUUUGGAGCUGACAGAUCAGUGUAAAGAAGAGACUGGGUUGACGUUGGAGGACGUCGUUGAUGCUGAGCCUCUGGACAAAGUUCUGGAACAGAUUCAGCAGUCUGUGUCAUCAGAAGUAAAAUGCCUCAGCAGAAGUUCGUACACACUCUUGGUGAACGGUCCUCUAAUAAUUCGACAGGCCCUCCACCCAGAAGCCUCCAAAAAGAAUCUUGUACUACCGGAGUGUUUCUUUUCAUUUGUGGACCUGCGGAAAGAGUUUCUCAAAUGCUGCCCGAAUGCCAGCUCUUUGCAGAAGCUCUCACUCUCCUCCAUGUUGGAUUAUGUUGGUCUCCCUGCGGUGUCAGAGCAGAUGAUAGGUGUGAGGGAGGUGAACAGCAUGGUGCAGCUGACGCUCUGCAUCCUGGAUGAGCCAUACAAUCACAAAUUCUACUGUGCUGAAACUGUGAAUUCCAAGUUUGAAUCUGGCACAUGCAGUAAGACCGAGCCGGUGGACAGCGAGACGGUGAUCAGAGCAAGGGGCCUUCCAUGGCAGUCCUCAGACCAGGAUAUUGCUCGUUUCUUUAAGGGACUCAAUAUUGCCAAGGGCGGCGUGGCCCUCUGUCUGAACGCUCAGGGCCGGAGGAACGGGGAAGCCUUGGUUCGGUUCAUCAACGCAGAGCACAGAGACCUGGCUCUGGAGCGACACAAACAUCACAUGGGCAGCAGAUAUAUUGAAGUCUACAAAGCGACAGGAGAAGAAUUUCUCAAGAUUGCUGGAGGGACGUCCAAUGAGGUGGCUCAGUUCCUAUCUAAAGAGAACCAGGUGAUCAUACGAAUGCGCGGGUUACCGUUCACGGCGACGACCCAGGAAGUGUUGUCCUUCCUCGGUCCUGAGAGUCCCGUCACGGACGGCUCAGAGGGGCUCCUCUUCGUCAAAUACCCCGACGGACGGCCUACUGGUGAUGCCUUUGUGCUUUUCUCCUGUGAGGAAUACGCUCAGAACGCUCUGAAGAAGCACAAACAGAUUCUGGGGAAGCGGUAUAUCGAGUUGUUUCGGAGCACUGCAGCCGAGGUUCAACAGGUUCUGAAUCGUUACAUGUCCACACCUCUGAUCUCCGCUCUGCCUCCAUCGCCCAUUGUACCACUUCCAGUCCUCUCCACGCCUCCCUUCCUGCCGACGGCUAGCAGCACGCGCGACUGCGUGCGGCUCCGCGGGCUGCCGUACACCGCCGGCAUCGAGGACAUCCUGGAGUUCAUGGGCGACCAUACGAUCGACAUCAAGACUCAUGGAGUCCACAUGGUCCUUAACCAGCAGGGCCGACCCUCUGGCGAUGCCUUCAUCCAAAUGAAGUCACCUGACAAGGCAUUCUUGGUGGCCCAAAAGUGCCACAAAAAGACAAUGAAGGACCGGUAUGUUGAGGUCUUCCAGUGCUCCACAGAGGAGAUGAGCAUUGUUCUGAUGGGAGGAACCCUGAACCGCAGCGGCCUCUCUCCUCCACCCUGCAAACUUCCCUGUCUGUCGCCUCCUACAGCUUAUGCUGCCUUCCCCACUCCGCCUGCCAUCCUCUCUGAAGCGGCCCUGUACCAGCCCCCCCUGCUGGCGGCCCCCAGGGGCCCUCAGACCACCAUCCACAGUCCUGCUCACGCUCUGGCCUACUACCCCCCGCAGCCGCAUCUCUAUAUGAACAUGAACAUGAACUAUACUGCUUAUUACCCCAGUCCCCCGGUUUCUCCCUCCACCGUCAGCUACUUUGCGGCUCCACCGGGCGCCAUGGCGGCUGCGGUGGCGGCUCAGGCCCACUCCGUUGCGACUCCGGCCCACCCGGCUGCGGCCGCUGCCUCCUCCGUCCUGCCGCAGCCGGGCGCCCUGGUCAGGAUGCAGGGUCUGCCGUACAACACCGGAGUCAAAGACAUCCUCAGCUUCUUCCAGGGAUAUCAGGCUGAAUUAGGUGGAGUCCGCUGAUGCAGGUAUGAAUCAUGACAGGUGUGUUCACGUAGGAAAGCGGUGGGUUUGAGGUAGGGGGCAGGUUCUGGUGCUGCUGUUUUUUUUAUUGGGGCAGAUAUCUUGGCUCUGUUGCUGGUCUUUCUUUCGUUCAUUCACACCAACAAGAAAGCAGUUUUUAGUUGCAUUUGGAGAAAUGUAGGUACGCUUUGUGUGUGUUUUUUAUUUUUUUUCUUUGAAAGCUGAUGGUCACUGUUUAAUGAAUUUUGUUGUUUUCUAGAUUCUGUAGGUGAUAUGUGUGUUUUCUAGCUCCAUUAUGAUUUCUCACACACAGGUCCUGAGAAAGAAAACUGUCUCUUUGUAGAGAUCCUCAAACUUUCAAUACUGUCAUCUGUUUUUAAAUGUGACCAGUAUUUGGUGAAUUUCUCUUUUGUUUCAGUGUGGUUUUAUUUUGAAUUGUUUUUUUUUGUUGUUGUUGUUUUCUUGGUCAUCUUUCUACACAUCUGUACCUUUUGUGUGAGGGUAAAAAAAUGUGCAUUGUGAUGUCUAACCCAAUGUUGAGGCCACUCCACCCUGACUGUGUGUUCAUCGUUGUACUGUAUCUGUAGUACGGCCCUGACGAGUACAGCGGCUUGGUUCAGAUGAACGAACAGGCCCGGAGUCUGAUUCAGCCCAAAGAAUGGCUCUGCCUUUAGGGCUCACACCAAGCUCCAGCCAGACGCCGUGCUUAUCUUGUAUAACUUCAGCGGUCAGUGCAGCGGCGAGGCCUUGAUCACCUUCCCCAACGAGGACGUCGCCCGGCGCGCCGUAGCCGAGCGCUCGGACCAUCCUUUCUACGGCCAGCCGAUCCACUUGGUUUUCUGUAACUGACCACCAGCUCUCCCACUUUCCUCCCCUUUCCAAUAGAAACGCCUCCAAACUCUUUACAGAGAACCUGUGGAAGUCUUCCCUCUCUGUACGAUCUGUACUUUGACUACACACCUCUCCGCUGGUCCUCACACUCCUGAAGCUGCUGCUGGAGCCGGGCCUUCCACAGACGAAGCAGCCUGACGCUGGACUUUGUGACUUUGCUGGUGGGGAAGGAAUAGUGUGAAGCCUGGGCAGAGCAUGCAGACACUCUGCAAAGCCAAAGUUGGAGAUCAACUUAUCGUCCUUGCAACUGUACAGACCUGUCUCCUGAAAUGCUUGAGGCAUAUAUGCAUUUAUACACGUUUGUCUUUAUAUUUCUGAACUGCAACGCUUUAACCACUUACACAUUUAGAGUUUUGUGUUUAUGAACAUUUUUGUUAGCUGCAAAAAGAAAUGUUUGGAGGCUAAAUAUUCUCCAGCAGUUUAGUUAUGACAAUAAAAAUGUCUAAGCCAUAAGGACUACUUUAUACUUCUCAGUCAAUCAGUAUCCUAAAACUGUCAUGAUUUAAAUGUAGCUAGUAAGCGACUUUAAGCUUCAGGGAAUAUUAGUUUAUACUACUGUGUAGCACAUCUGUGUCAGUGUAUGAAUUAACCUGUGACUUUUUUUAAGGCAUUUUUUGUGUGACCACCAGCAUGUCUAAACCUUUAAGUAUUUUCUAAGCACAACAGAUGCUUUGGUUUGCUCCACUCACAGAGACGCUACGCUGCACAUCUUUAACAGUUUGACAGUAAAUUAAUUCUACUUUCAUUCAUACUUAUCUACAAAAGCUAAAACUUUAUUAUUUGUAAAUUGACUUGGUUUUUUUUUCCUGCAGUCUUGUAUAUUGAUUGACCCGUUGCAGCCGCUGCUUUGGUUUUUGUUUUCAGACUAAAACAACCAGCCUGCACUACGAUUCAGUUCCUGUGAACAACCAGAGCCGUGUAAAACUGCAAGAGCCCUUUUUUUUUCUUCCUUCCUGUGAGAGGCCUACUGAAUUGUCUUAGUUUUUGUUUUUUCUUUACGAAGCCUACAUUACCCAGAGUGCAAUACUGGCCCACAGGAGGCAUAGGAGCCUCUGGUGGCAGAUGAGAUAUUUGUUUUGUUGCGACCUAAGGAUGCAUGAAUUUAGGUCUAUGUAUAAAAUGUAAACAAUAAAAAUAUUGACAAAUA